Molecule: ribosomal RNA, 403 nt
Filed under: uncultured bacterium
Lineage: Bacteria
Description: bacterial SSU rRNA
Rfam family: Bacterial small subunit ribosomal RNA
Source: RNAcentral
UAGGGAAUAUUGCAAAAUGGGCGAAAGCCCGAUGCAGCAACGCCGCGUGGGCGAUGAAGGCCUUCGGGUCGUAAAGCCCUUUUUGAGGGGAUGAGGAAGGACAGUACCCUCAGAAUAAGCCUCGGCUAACUACGUGCCAGCAGCCGCGGUAAAACGUAGGAGGCGAGCGUUAUCCGGAUUUACUGGGCGUAAAGCGCGUGCAGGCGGAUUGGAGAGUUGGAUGUGAAAGCUCCCGGCUUAACUGGGAGAGGUCGUUCAAUACUUCCAGUCUUGAGUGCAGUAGAGGGGAGUGGAAUUCCGGGUGUAGUGGUGAAAUGCGUAGAUAUCCGGAGGAACACCAGUGGCGAAAGCGGCUUCCUGGACUGUAACUGACGCUCAGACGCGAAAGCUAGGGUAGCAAACG